RNAcentral lists this ribosomal RNA (447 nucleotides) under uncultured bacterium. Its description in RNAcentral is "partial 16S ribosomal RNA". It matches the Rfam family "Bacterial small subunit ribosomal RNA", at positions 29 to 523 of the family's 1533-position model. The record is from RNAcentral.
AGCGAACGCUGGCGGCAGGCCUAACACAUGCGAGUCGAGCGCCCCGCAAGGGGAGCGGCAGACGGGAGAGUAACACGUGGGAACGUACCCUUCAGUUCUGAACAACCCAGGGAAACUUGGGCUAAUACCGAAUACGUCCGUAAGGAGAAAGAUUUAUCGCUGAAGGAUCGGCCCGCGUCUGAUUAGCUAGUUGGUGAGGUAACGGCUCACCAAGGCGACGAUCAGUAGCUGGUCUGAGAGGAUUAUCAGCCUCACUGGGACUGAGACACGGCCCAGACUCCUACGGGAGGCAGCAGUGGGGAAUAUUGGACAAUGGGCGCAAGCCUGAUCCAGCCAUGCCGCGUGGAUGAUGAAGGCCCUAGGGUUGUAAAGUCCUUUUAACGGGGAAGAUAAGGACGGUACCCGUAGAAUAAGCCCCGGCUAACUUCGUGCCAGCAGCCGCCGUAA